CUCAGCUCACUGCAACUUCCGCCUCCCGGGUUCAAGCAAUUCUCCUGCCUCAGCCUCCCCAGUAGCUGGAUUACAGGUUCCUGCCACCAGGGCUGGCUAAUUUUUUACUUUUAGUAGAGAGGGUGUUAUGGGCGGGUCUUUGUUCUUAGAGCUCCCAAGAUGGUGGCAGGCCACGCCCAAGAUGGGGCGGCCGCUCCAAAGAUGGCGGCAAGCCUUUUGUUCUCUUACCUGGGGUUCUUGGCUUCAUGGAUUCCAAGGAAUGGAACUUUGGGCCAUGCGGGAGCUUGACAUAGGUGGUGCAUGAAGUGUCUCAAGAGGAAGCAGAGAAUAAGAUCUCAGUUACACAGUCUGGGCAAGAAUACAAGAAAAUCACCCAAAAAACUGCGACCAUCAGAGGAGCCUCCAUGUUAGAGUCUCUGGGCCUCUGUCUCUUCAGAAUCCACCCUGGAAACAGUGUGCAUCAAAACACUUUGGAGUUCUUAGAGGCACUUGGAAUUAUCUGCUGGCUUCCCACCUUUAAAGAGACUGGGCUAGUUAAAUAUCCCCCUCUGUUCAUUUUUUUAAAUUUGAGUUUGUCAGUUCACAAUACCAGAAGAUCUGAAAGAAAAAUAAAAACAAAACCCAGAACCUCUUUGGGCUUCUCAGGCAAUAGAGAAAGACUUCCACGUACUCAGAAGACCAUCGUCA
RNAcentral lists this long non-coding RNA (687 nucleotides) under Homo sapiens (human). Its description in RNAcentral is "HSALNT0125913". The record is from RNAcentral. Lineage: Eukaryota; Metazoa; Chordata; Mammalia; Primates; Hominidae.